AUACAGGAAACUGGUAAUACCGACAUCGAGGGAGUUGACUCCAGUAAUGCAUGUUAUGGUGGAACAACUUCCCUCUUGAAUUGGGUGACUUCGGUCCAAAGUCCAUGCUGGGAUGAACGUUACGGCCUUGUAGUCUGCACAGAUAGCACGGUUUAUGCAGAGGGACCAGCUCGACCUGGUGGAGCUGCUGCAGUUGCUAUGCUUAUUGGUCCAAAUGCACCUAUUUCUUUCGAAAUCAAAUAUAGAGCUUUUCACAUGACUCAUGUUUACGAUCUCUACAAGCCUCAUCUUGCAAGUGAAUAUCAGGUUAGGAUUCCAUCACCUGUUUUUGUUUGUUUGUUUUAG
This 345-nucleotide ribosomal RNA is filed under the name Triticum aestivum (bread wheat). RNAcentral describes it as "partial small subunit ribosomal RNA". The record is from RNAcentral. Lineage: Eukaryota; Viridiplantae; Streptophyta; Magnoliopsida; Poales; Poaceae.